This 385-nucleotide long non-coding RNA is filed under the name Elaeis guineensis (African oil palm). RNAcentral's name for it is "long non-coding RNA (EGUI_LNC057796)". Lineage: Eukaryota; Viridiplantae; Streptophyta; Magnoliopsida; Arecales; Arecaceae. The record is from RNAcentral.
ACUUAGAGAAGUUCGAGACCUACAAAUGCAAGCACAAGAUGAUCCUCAACCAAAAAUAUCUAUUAAUGAAGUAGAACCAUAAAAUACACCUCCUCUUUGAAGGUUGGAUAGAGUGCGGAAUGGACCAAUAAGGUAUGGGUUUAUUGUUGUGAUCUAGGUGGUGUGCCCAAGGCCCAGGGGACCAAGGCUAAGGCCAAGGUCCAUCAUUCAUGAGGGCUUCAUGGAGGCUCUAGGGCUAGUUGGGCCCUAGGUUGAAAGGCUGUGGGCCUUUCAGGUUCUUGAGGUCUAGGUUAUGUGGGCCUCAAGAGACCAACUCUUUAUGGGCCAGGUCUGAGCCCAGGAUAGGUGAGAUUAGGUCGAGUCAUGGGUGUACAUGGGCUUGGGU